This 253-nucleotide ribosomal RNA is filed under the name uncultured bacterium. Its description in RNAcentral is "partial 16S ribosomal RNA". It matches the Rfam family "Bacterial small subunit ribosomal RNA", at positions 524 to 776 of the family's 1533-position model. The record is from RNAcentral.
UACGUAGGGACCAAGCGUUGUUCGGAUUUACUGGGCGUAAAGGGCGCGUAGGCGGCCUAGCAAGUCAGUUGUGAAAUCUCCGAGCUUAACUCGGAAAGGUCAACUGAUACUGUGCGACUAGAGUGCAGAAGGGGCAACUGGAAUUCCUGGUGUAGCGGUGGAAUGCGCAGAUAUCAGGAGGAACACCGGUGGCGAAGGCGGGAUCCUGGGCCAGUACUGACGCUGAGGAGCGAAAGCGUGGGGAGCAAACAGG